This is a microRNA precursor of Pan paniscus (pygmy chimpanzee), 98 nucleotides long. The record is from Ensembl. Lineage: Eukaryota; Metazoa; Chordata; Mammalia; Primates; Hominidae.
AGGUGGGAGGAUUGCUUGAGCCUGGGAGGUGGAGGUUGCAGUGAGCCAAGAUCAUGCCACUGCACUCCAGCCUGGGUGACAGAGCCAGACUGUGUCUC